AUUGCAUGAUCCACUAGUUCAGAUGAUAAAAUAAGGUGAAUCAUUCAUUCAUGUGAAAGAUAUGAUCCAAACCCUAGAAUGUCAUUGGAAAGAAGGCUAUAUAUGGGCUUCACAAUGGAUAUUGGUUAGAAUAAUGAUUUGAUGGCAUCAUGUUGUACAAGUAUCGAACUGGCAUUCACCCUUAUCUUGACACAAGAUUUUCAAAUAUAGAUCCA
RNAcentral lists this long non-coding RNA (215 nucleotides) under Elaeis guineensis (African oil palm). RNAcentral's name for it is "long non-coding RNA (EGUI_LNC028486)". Lineage: Eukaryota; Viridiplantae; Streptophyta; Magnoliopsida; Arecales; Arecaceae. The record is from RNAcentral.